RNAcentral lists this transfer RNA (83 nucleotides) under Patescibacteria group bacterium. Its description in RNAcentral is "tRNA-Leu". It matches the Rfam family "tRNA". Rfam says of the family: Transfer RNA (tRNA) molecules are approximately 80 nucleotides in length. Their secondary structure includes four short double-helical elements and three loops (D, anti-codon, and T loops). Further hydrogen bonds mediate the characteristic L-shaped molecular structure. tRNAs have two regions of fundamental functional importance: the anti-codon, which is responsible for specific mRNA codon recognition, and the 3' end, to which the tRNAs corresponding amino acid is attached (by aminoacyl-tRNA synthetases). tRNAs cope with the degeneracy of the genetic code in two manners: having more than one tRNA (with a specific anti-codon) for a particular amino acid; and 'wobble' base-pairing, i.e. permitting non-standard base-pairing at the 3rd anti-codon position. The record is from RNAcentral.
GCCGGAGUGAUGGAAUUGCCAGACAUGCACGACUUAAAAUCGUGUGGGCUUAGCCCGUGCGGGUUGGAAUCCCGCCUCCGGCA